Hypanus sabinus (Atlantic stingray) is the source of this 1157-nucleotide long non-coding RNA. RefSeq lists it as uncharacterized. The transcript has 2 exons. Lineage: Eukaryota; Metazoa; Chordata; Chondrichthyes; Myliobatiformes; Dasyatidae. The record is from RefSeq and is a predicted model, not a curated record.
CGGCAACAUGCAGGCGCACCGGAUUGGCAGAGCUGGGAGUUUCUUCUAUAGCACCCUCUGGUGUGCUGGAGGAGUGAUGGGAGGUCUCCCCACUCUCACCUCCGGUGGCCCCAAAGCUUCAGCAGCAUCGAUGUAUCAGACAUUCAACGAAUCGUGUUUCAUAUCUGCUCUGAUUAAACAUUCUGUUGGAGGAUGCCAAAGGAAGAUUAAAGUCUAACUUCAUGGCUAUUCAUUGUGUUACCUGGAAUACAGACAUUUCCCAAAGUAGCCGGGAGAGAGGCUGUUUGUAACGACUGUAAUCCAUUCAAGACGAUUCUAACAUAGAUCCUUCCCUUGUGACUUACGGAACAUUUGCCUGUCCUCUGUGCUGUUUCUUCUAAAUAAAUUAACAGAAAAUUCAGCAAGCAGCAAAUGGCAAUAUCAAGUCACACAGCAUUUACAACCCCAUCGCAGACACAGUGUCAUUGAAACAGACAGAUCUGAACUGUGGAGGAUGGGGGUUUGGAUACUGACCGUUAUUCUGUUUUUGUCCAUUUUUCUUAAAUAUCAUUUCUGAUUUUGCCAUUAGACUCAGAUUGGUUUAUUAUCAUUUGCAACAUGGUGGAAUGAAAUUCCUUGUGUUUCUGAAACACACAGAGUCACCGGCAUUCAUGAUACAUAAAUAUAGCAAAUAUAUAGGAAAGUGCAAAACAAUAGACAUGUAGAAUACAGCAGUGCAAUAUGGAUUAGUGCAAAAUUAAAUUGAACGCGACCGUAAAGAUAUAACCAACAGAUUGGUGAAAUACACCAUGGUUCAGAGAAACAUUGUCCCACUUCUAUGUGCGUUAUAUACACGCAUAUAGUUAAAUGACAAUAAUGCGGACUUGAGAAUGGUGGAGCUAAUAGAUUGAGAACAUGCCAGCGCCACUUGAAAGAGGGGGUUACUUGAGAAGUCUGCGAGCAAAGUAGGAACAUCUUCUGAUGUUUUUGUUUCAUCGCUUGCUAUGUUCUGUGUUUUGGCAAGCGUUGUGGGCAUUUUUUGUUGGUGCUGGAGUGUGUGGCGAUAUUUGCUGGCUGCUCCCAACACAUUAUUGGGUGUGUUAGUUAUUAACUCAAACAAAGCAUUUAACUGUAUGUUUCAAUACAACUAACAAAUAAAUCUGAAUCUUUAGUCUCAA